Long non-coding RNA from Alligator mississippiensis (American alligator), 7286 nucleotides. RefSeq lists it as uncharacterized. The transcript is spliced from 2 exons. NCBI's taxonomy places the organism in Eukaryota, Metazoa, Chordata, Crocodylia, Alligatoridae. The record is from RefSeq and is a predicted model, not a curated record.
GCCUGCACGUACAAUGCCUGCAAUGGAUUUGGGAGUAUCUAAAGCCCCAGGCUGAAGAAUCUGGGAGAAAAGACACUUUCCAAUGGUAGCACCACAUAGAUUUGAACGAUUGAGCUCUGCUCAGUCAGUGGAUUUUGGAACAGAUUUGGCUAAGUUGGUCUGAGACAGGAAAUUAAAAAAAAAAAAGUGAACUUGCUGUGCCUAGCUUCCUAUAUUCAGAGAUAUGAGGAAGCAAGUUUUACAUUUAAAAUCUUUUCUUAUCCCAACUACAGAGUUGGUCCAAUAGAAGAUAUCACCCUAAGAAAUUCACACACAGAGAGGCCAGUGGGUCUCAGCCAGGGUACCAAGAGAUCCUGUCAAGGGUGAUGCAGGGUGUCACGCAGUGUUAGCACUGUGAGGGGUGCAAACACAAUUCACAAGAGAAACACAAGAGAUUUCAAAUAAAGAUCCAUGACGUUAGACACAUGCUGACCUGUUGUGGGCUUUCUGAGCUCUGUUCAAUGGAAGAAUUGCUCGGAUAUUUGUUCUGAUAUUAAAAGAAAAAUGGGUGAAAAUUAAAUGCUGGUCGGGGCAGGGGGGAUCUAUCAAGGUGGAGGCUUGAGCCUAGAAUGGUUGAGAGCCACUGCCUUACACUGUUUGGGAACAUUGGUUUCAGUGAGGGAGAUCUGGAAGAAAAGGUGAAAGGGAUGUUUCAGUUGUCUAAUGGAAGCCAAGAACGUGAAAAUAAAAUAUGAAGUCCUUCAUCCAAAGAAAAAAAUCAUUACAAAAAUUAUCACAAAUAAAGCAAUCCACGUCCCAUGCAGGACAAUCAGAUGUAUGUUCUACUCUACUUUCUCCCUUGCUCUGUAUCCUACACCCUUCUUGCAAGUGCUUCCCCAGUACACAAAAUGCUGACAAAAUUGAAGAGCAGUUAAAAAAAAAUCCUAUUGGAAAUACAAACAACACCCUCAGUUUCUGGGCAGCUCUAAAUCUCAUCCCUCAAAAACUUUCUUUUGAUUUCUUGCAGCUGCUGCAAACAAAAAAUUCGCACAUGGAUUUCUUUAAUUGCUAGAAGAGUCAUUAUAAGAAGGAACAGGCUGCAUUCUGAAGAGAGAAAUAUAUAGCAGUGAACUUUAUAUGCUUCUUUUACUCUUUAUAUGCUUCCUUUAUAUGCUUCCUUUACUCUUCCUUUACUCUUUUAAUAUGUUUCCUUUACUCUUUAGUUAAAUGCUAUUCUGUUACUUGCACAAUGGUAGAUGUUGAAAAUGGAAUGUAAAAAGGUGAGCUCAAAGCAUGCUGCUUGUGGGGCUACAGGGUGAGAAAAAGGAAGAUUUGGAGAGGUGUGUGUGCAAGCUGAAUGUUCUGCACUGGAGAGCAGAAACCAAGAAAGAAUGCAUCUCUGUAGUGGUAUUCCACAUUCAUAAGCUAAAAAUUUAAAUUAAAUUAAAAUAUGAAGAGCAAUUGAAUGAUCUGUGCUUGUUAACAGAACCAGAAAAAGGGUAUUACAUGGGAUGGGCCUCCCAUUGAUAACGGGAGAGAUUCUCCGUGAGUUCAAAUGGCAAAGGGUUUUGUUUUAGGAAGAGAAGAGCAUAGGCUGUAUCCUGUUAAUCCACUGAUCCUCCUAGCAGCCAUGCUGUGCAGAUAUUGAUCUGUAUUGAUCCCAGAUUUGUUGCAAUACUUUGGCAUGAUACAAAUGUUGGUGAUGUCUAGUAAGACAGAAACCUCAGAGGUCUUUGAGACUUAGGUAUAACCUUGUAUAAAAAAAGCUACAUUAAGAAAAAGUAAUGUCAUAGAGUCAUAGACAAUGAGGGUUGGAAGGGACCUCAGGAGGUCAUCUAAUCCAACCCCCUGCUCAACGCAGGACCAGCUCCAACUACAUCAUCCCAGCCCAGUCAAUAUCAGUGUUAACUUUGCACAUCUACCAUGUCUGCAUGUUUUAUGAUGACACAGUUUUAAUUAUAUUAUUUUACCAUUUACCUUACAUACAUGUAGUCUGGUUUGGUUCUUGCAUGCUUAUGCCAUUUUUUUCAUUGUCAUCCUGGUCCAGGAUAUCUUUAUGGCAUUAAGUAGUGGAAAUUGGAAGUCUAGAUUCAUUACGAAAUUUUGAAAAUCUCCAGCAUAGAUGCCUUAGGCUCGAUCCUGUAUCACUGAAGUUAAUGGGAGAUCUUUUGAUUUCAGUAGCAGCAGGGCAGGCUCUUGUUAUGCUCACGAUCAGUGUUGCCAGAUAUAUAAUAAUUCUCAUAUAUGUAUGGUGAAUUCAGCCACUGUACCAUGUAUGAUAGAUAAUUUAAAGUGGCUCAUGUGUAUGAUAAUUCAGGAAGACCAAAGAGUAUUUGCAUUUGAAAGAAAAAUUCAGAUUCAGUCAAUUCUCCAUCUUCAUAUAGAAUUUGGGAUAUUCUAUCUCAUGUAUACAAAUUCACUAGGAACAGGUUAUGUGUCACAUGUAGCAGCAUAGGACAGGACUCUGACAUGGAAUUUUACUGGGAGGUUGAAGUUCUAGGAGGUGACACUGACUUAGAUGAUCCACUUGCUAUUUGUGGCAUGAUGUCAUAUUAAGGAUGGAAAAGACCUUUAUAUUUGCAUAUUCUUCGAUAUUUUGCAAUAUAUAUAUAUAUAUAUAUAUUUGUAAAGUAUAUUAAUAUUGGACUUAUUAUAAUAAUAUUCCCAUUUUUUUCAAAUUUGGCAACACUGUUCAAGAGCUUUCUUCAAAUAUAUGCAGUCAAAGCCCUCAUGCAUUUACCUACAAACAUUAGCACAAAUCCCAGUAGGUGCAAGUCUAGGGGAUAAGCUAAUUAUCUAUGGAACUCUAUUAACUUCCCAUAUGUGAACAGCAUAAACUUUCUGAGGUCAGUCAGAGAUGAGGCAGUAAACUAUUAAAGUAAUUUAGAUCAGCACUUGACGACCUAUGUAUAGCAGCAUAUUUUCACCCCUGCUCUGUGCAAUCCUGUUUAAUAUGUAGGACGGUGUGUUGGCCCAUAUAGUGUGUGAUUUCUACUUAUGUUACUGACAUCAUCUCUGUGCAAUACCAAAUGUGGCACUUGAAUUUGCCACAUUUGCCGAGUCCUGUAUAAACAGAGAGCAAAAGAAAAAGUUUCCUGAUCCAAAGAGCUAACAAUCUGCAUAACAUUAUCCCUAUCAUUUCCUGAUUCUUGAAUGCUUCGCAGUGCAACCUUAAGACUGCCAUGUUUUGAUGGAAUGUCCAAGGGUCGUACAAAAUAACAUUAAAAAAAACCAGCAUUCUGACCUUGCAGGUAUCUAGUGAAUUGUACCUCUUUCUUGUACCUCUAAUCCGCUAAACCAUUUAUGUACAAACUUUAUUAGAAAAAAAACCUUUUGGACAGAAAAUAAUUCAUCCCCAAGGAUAACUAUUUAAAAAAUGUAUGAAGAGCUGAAAACAGGGAUUGGAAUAGAGACCAUUAUACAACCUUCAUUAUGGAAGUUUCCUCCAUUCCUCCUACAAUAUCUACCCAGGAGAAGGUUUCCUAUGGGAGCUGGUUUAACCCACCAUGUCCUCUUUUUAAUGAAUGCCUAGGCUUGAUUUGGUCAGAUAAUGCUUUCAUUUUUCUUUUCUCCUAAACUUGGUUUAUUCAGUUCCACCAUCCUCUUACCCAUGUAAAUCCCAUGAGUUUUUGUUCGCCUUUCACAUUGUGUUUGAUACCUAGACUUUGGGGCAGGGACCAUAAUUUUUAUUCUGUCAGAAUGAUCUGAGUUCAGUGUCAUCCUGAUCCUUGACUGGGUUUCCUAGUGGCUACCAAUGAUAGCAAUAACUCAAAUAGAAUCAUCAUCAUCAUCAUCUACUUAGCAAGAGAUUAUUUUGACUUCUCUUUACUUUGUCCAAAGGCUUAUGCACUGUAUCUUCCCCACCCCUUAUUUAAUGUAAAGUCUCUGCUUUUAUUUCUGAUGCUGUUCAAAACCAUGUUUCAAGACUUCAUUGACUGGAUGCUAGGAUAGAAAAUGACUCCUGGUUUCAGGCUCUUGUCUGUGUCCUGGUAUUACAGUCACUCCUCUCUGUGUUUGUGGUAAGUUUUAUGAUGUUUCUCUUUCUGCUUGUGCAUUAUAUUCCCUAAAAUAGGCAGAGAGAAAGAGAGAGGUAAAGAAAUACACAAAGUUUACCGGUUAGGGUGGGCUGCAAAAUGUUGCCAGGAUAUGCACCUCCUCUUUAAAAUGCCACUUAUGUGGAAGAAUUAAAGGAAUGUGGCAGUAGGGAUGAACAAGACAGUUAAAACAGCCAUUGACCCUGGUCUCUCAAAACAUGUAUCUACCCAAGGCAAAUACUUGGCCAUGUUUUAGCAUUAACAGCAGACUUGCCACCGCUUUCUGGGGCCACCAGUUGGGGAGGGAAGCUCAACUGCUUUCACUGCCUCUGAUCUUAUUCUCUACAUAGGACUGACUAGACUUUAUUUUGGCUUCCGAGACACUUUCAAGGCAGACUGACCUCUUUACCAGACACUAGCUAGUAGUAACCUUUUUAAACAUAUGAAUACCCCUUGCUAACAUAGAAGUAGAUGAUGCAAAAUAUUUUCUCUGCUCUCUUCUCAGUCCCUUAGGAUAUGGGUCAAGAGUUGAAGUCAGAUAGCACAGCAUGAGUUCACCCAAGGGGCUUUUUCACUGCUAAGGUCUCACUGCAGCUCACUGACAGACCAAAAAAUCUACCAUUUUUUACAGAAUGCUUCCUUCAAACACAAGAUGCCAUAGGAAAAAUUCUGCUCUCGCUUACGUUGAUCUUACUUGGAGUAAUUCCCCUGACAUGAACUUAUUGGGAUAUCAAAGUCAAUGGGAUUCUCUUCAACUCACACCUGUGUAAAAAUUAGAGUAAAAUCAUUCCUGACUCCUGCUUCCCUUGCUCACACAAAUCUUCCACUGGUGAUGAGAAUGGGGAUCAGGAUUUGGAUCUGUAGCUGGAGGGACAUCUUCCUUCAGAGGGUCUCACAAGAACCAGUAAGAACCUAUUGGGCCCAUGUUACAUAAUGUGAGCAGGUAGAAUUUGAGCACUGAAUAAAGCAGAUCUUUGUCAGACUCCUCACCUCGGCAUGACUGCACACUGACUGUCUGGUUGAUGGGUAGUGCUGGUGGCCUACUGUUCAGCUCUGAUCGGGAGGGAACAUCUGGCGCUGGGUGCAGCACAUCAGGAAGCUGCUUUGAUUCAGAAGAUGGAAGCAAAGCAAAAAAGAAGAAAGAGGUUUGCUGUAAACUUGGACUCCAACUCAGAUGACGCAUAAAUCUGUGAAACUUGUAACAAGCUGUGUCACUCUUGAAUUGGGCUUGUCAGCCAUAAGUGGAUUCAUUAGGCACCUGACUACACCUCUUCUGCAUACACCAUGAUCCAGAGGAUCAACGGUUGCCAGACUGCUCAGCUCCUCCAUCCUCCACGGGACAUAGAGACUGGUAUCAUGUGUCAGCUCACAGGCUACAUCUCUGUCUGUGAGUAACAAACCCACAUGCAAAUUCUCUGGAGGAGACCCAUGGGCACAUGAUGAGCUGUGCUCUGAGAAACUCAGUACUAAAAUUUCAGGGCCAGGGAAGAGGAUAAAAGUGAUGAUUUAUCUACAGCUAAGGCUGGAGAGAUUUUCUGCUUCAGCAUGGUAAGGCUGCUCACGGAGACGUUCUUCCCUGACCACUCGAGGUGGUUGUACCCGGCCAGAACCGAAGGCCUGGAAUGAAGUACAGAGCAUCUCUAGGGUGUAUGUGCUACCCUGAUAGGUGCUUUGGAAAUAUUGACAGAGACAGGCAAGUCACACCCACAACACAUGAGGGUGAGAAAGCCAGCUGAGUGGCUUCUCCACUGCUCUGCUUGCCAAAGCAACAGAACAGCAGCAUUUCAACACCUUCUGGCCUUAACGCUCCUGCAUAAAAUGGCUGAAGAUUGAGCCCUGUGCUUCCAAACAAACAGGAACAAGUUCCCAAGAAACGGGGGAGAGAAGAAAUACUGUUUUUCAUACCCCGUGCCCCUCUCUCUUGUUUAGAAAAAGUGUUAUUCAGUUAUAUGGACUAUUUAAAGGGCUGUGGCUAAAUGGGAGUGACUAUAAAAUCCAUGUUCUAAUAACAAUAAUAAUUGUAAAGGGUACAACAACAUUUAUAACCCUUGUUACAGGCCUGAGCUAUCAUAUCCAUAGCAACUGCAGCAAGUGGUACAUGCAAUAUAUUUAGCAAUCCCCUACACCUGCCUAAAAUAGACACCAAUAAAUUAUGUCAAUGUUUGUACCUUUUGGCAGCAUUUGAAGGGGCCAGAGAUGCAUGGUACAUUUGCGCUUGGCUUGUGCAGAGCUGUGCAACAAGAAUGUUGCUUUUGUACCAAGCAUCUGUCUCCUUCUGUUUACCUUCCCUUUCAUGUUUUUUAAUGUGACAAACUUGUCAAAAGAGGAAACUCAAAGGUGAAUCGUGUACUUGGGGAAGCAAGGUGAGUGAUAGGUAGAAGGGAACAGAUGCAGUUUGCUUAUGGCAUCUGUCAUCUUCUUUGCUUCCGCACUGCGGCUGUCAAAGUGUGGCUAACAUGAAUGUAUUGAAUUAAUAAACUUUUGCAAGUGAUUAGGGCUGUAUACAUCUCCCUGUUGAAGGCAAGGGCAACACGGUCACACUUGAUAUUAAGGAUAUGUAUACAUAUAUACAGUUUAUAAAGAGUUAAUCAAUGACUGAGAGGUGUUUUAAUACACGGUUAAUCAAUUGUUGUAGAUUGUCAGAGUCCAACAGGUCAAUUGUGUGCUUACAACCAUGGCAUAUAACCAUCAAGGAGACCAUCUGUUGAUGUACUUAUUACAGUCUUUAACAUGCAUUACUCAUGUCUGCAACAUGUUUAUAACAGCUAUUAACCUUAUAGUAUUAACCCUUUAGAAUAUUUGUUAAAAUUAACCUUCAUAUAAACUGUGCCUAGAAAGAUUUCCAUCAACUUCCAUGAGAAAGGGGUCAGAUCUUUGCCCUGCGUAAUGGACAAAAGAGUUCUGUCCCUAUUAUUUUAUGAUAGAUGCAUUUAGCUCUUAGUGUUUUAAUCCUGUAAACCUUAAGUACGCAGCAAUUUUAUUGAUCACAGGCUUCACAUUUGACCAUUCCAGUCAAUGUGAUAAAGCUACAGAGCAAUCGUGUCUAAGUUCUGUAACAACAACAGUAACAAGCACGCUAACAAGAGCUUGCUAUAUUUGAUGUUUUUAUAGGAACUUCCACCCAAAGGUUUUUUCAUGGUGUUUAUGAACAAUUAAGCCUCAUGCCUCUUCCGUGAGGAACAUUGUCCUACCAAGACACCAAGGUGCAGAAUAACACAAGAUCACUCAACAAGAAAGUAGUAACAUUGAGAAUAAAAUCUAUUUUUUAUUUUC